UACGCUGGCGGCACGCCUAACACAUGCAAGUCGAACGGAGUAGCAAUACUUAGUGGCAGACGGGUGAGUAACAUGUAGGUAUCUGCCCUUUGGCCUGGAAUAACACGAGGAAACUUGUGCUAAUACCGGAUAAGUCUUUACGGAGAAAGCUUUAUGCACCAUUGGAUGAGCCUGCACUUGAUUAGUUUGUUGGUGGGGUAAUGGCCUACCAAGACUGUGAUCAAUAGCUGAUUUGAGAGGAUGAUCAGCCACAUUGGGACUGAGACACGGCCCAAACUCCUACGGGAGGCAGCAGUGGGGAAUCUUGCACAAUGGAGGAAACUCUGAUGCAGCGAUGCCGCGUGAGUGAAGAAGGCCCUUGGGUUGUAAAGCUCUUUCGUCGGGGAAGAAAAUGACUGUACCCGAAUAAGA
RNAcentral lists this ribosomal RNA (411 nucleotides) under uncultured bacterium. RNAcentral describes it as "bacterial SSU rRNA". It matches the Rfam family "Bacterial small subunit ribosomal RNA", at positions 33 to 488 of the family's 1533-position model. The record is from RNAcentral.